GUCCACGCCGUAACGAUGGAUACUAGCUGUUGGGAGCAAUCUCAGUGGCUAAGCGAAGUGAUAAGUAUCCCACCUGGGGAGUACGUUCGCAAGAAUGAACUCAAAGGAAUUGACGGGCCCGCACAAGCGGUGGAGCAUGUGGUUUAAUUCGAUGAUACGCGAGGAACCUUACCAAGGCUUAAAUGUAGAUUGACCGAUUUUGGAAACAGAUUUUUCGCAAGACAAUUUACAAGGUGCUGCAUGGUUGUCGU
This 251-nucleotide ribosomal RNA is filed under the name uncultured bacterium. RNAcentral describes it as "partial 16S ribosomal RNA". It matches the Rfam family "Bacterial small subunit ribosomal RNA", at positions 793 to 1055 of the family's 1533-position model. The record is from RNAcentral.